GUGAGUCAUCGAAUCUUUGAACGCAUAUUGCACUCUCUGGUAUUCCGGAGAGUAUGCCUGUUUGAGGGUCAGUAAAAAUAAAAAUCUAUCAUGAAUCCUUUUUUUAAUUUAUUUUAUUAAAUCGGAACAUGGAAUUGGAUUUUCAUUAUUUUUGAUGAUCUUAAAUUUAUGUUAUAUGGCUAUAUAUAAACUGAACCAAAAAGAGCAAUUAUUUAUAAUUAAUCUCAUUUAGUGAUGUUUUAUUAAGCCAAAUAUGGUUUAUUUUGAUAUUUUAAUAUCAAAUAAUCAUAAACAUAUUUU
Molecule: unclassified non-coding RNA, 300 nt
Filed under: uncultured Entrophospora
Lineage: Eukaryota; Fungi; Glomeromycota; Glomeromycetes; Entrophosporales; Entrophosporaceae
Description: uncultured Claroideoglomus sequence contains 5.8S rRNA gene, ITS2
Rfam family: 5.8S ribosomal RNA (bases 1-71)
Source: RNAcentral